CCGACAUAUCAGCAAGUCCAAUCAAGGCGCUCAGCUUAUGUUCCUGCUGAUGGUGAAGGAAAGUUGCGUUAUUAGCUGGUGGGGAUGUAUUGGCGAUACUUCUGUUUGCUGCAAUUGGAAGAUUUAGCCAUGAUUUCCUGUUUUCGAAGCUGAAACGUUGCGUAUUGGUCACCCAUUCAUCGCGGGAUGAUUUCUUAGUGCAUACUUCUUUGGAGGAUAUAGUGAGGAUGGUCAAGGGAUGAAUGGUUCGAAUAAGGCAGUAGCUGCUGCGGCUAAAUCUUGGGCCUUGGGUAUACCGGU
Long non-coding RNA from Spinacia oleracea (spinach), 300 nucleotides. RefSeq lists it as uncharacterized. The transcript is spliced from 3 exons. NCBI's taxonomy places the organism in Eukaryota, Viridiplantae, Streptophyta, Magnoliopsida, Caryophyllales, Amaranthaceae. The record is from RefSeq and is a predicted model, not a curated record.